AGUGAACGCUGGCGGCGUGCUUAACACAUGCAAGUCGAACGAGAACGGAUUAUAGCUUGCUAUAAUUGUUAGCUAAGUGGCGCACGGGUGAGUAAUGUAUAGGUAAUAUGCCUUUUACUAAGGAAUAACAAAUGGAAACGUUUGCUAAUACCUUAUACUCCUUAUUAACCUAAGUUAAUAAGGGAAAGAUUUAUUGGUAAGAGAUUAGCCUGUAUUGUAUCAGUUAGUUGGUGGGGUAAUGGCUUACCAAGGCUAUGACACAUAACUGGUUUGAGAGGAUGAUCAGUCACACUGGAACUGAGACACGGUCCAGACUCCUACGGGAGGCAGCAGUGGGGAAUAUUGCACAAUGGACGGAAGUCUGAUGCAGCAACGCCGCGUGGAGGAUGACACAUUUCGGUGCGUAAACUCCUUUUAUAUGAGAAGAUAAUGACGGUAUUAUAUGAAUAAGCACCGGCUAACUCCGUGCCAGCCGCCGCAGUAA
RNAcentral lists this ribosomal RNA (484 nucleotides) under uncultured bacterium. Its description in RNAcentral is "partial 16S ribosomal RNA". It matches the Rfam family "Bacterial small subunit ribosomal RNA", at positions 29 to 523 of the family's 1533-position model. The record is from RNAcentral.